This 503-nucleotide ribosomal RNA is filed under the name uncultured bacterium. Its description in RNAcentral is "bacterial SSU rRNA". It matches the Rfam family "Bacterial small subunit ribosomal RNA", at positions 17 to 518 of the family's 1533-position model. The record is from RNAcentral.
UUAUGGCUCAGGAUGAACGCUGGCGGCGUGCCUAACACAUGCAAGUCGAACGGAGAGCCAAUGACGGAGUUUCGGACAACGGAUUGGUUCUUAGUGGCGGACGGGUGAGUAACGCGUGAGCAACCUGCCUUGGAGUGGGGAAUAACAGCUGGAAACAGUUGCUAAUACCGCAUGAUGCAGCGAGGGGACAUCCUCUUGCUGCCAAAGAUUUAUCGCUCUGAGAUGGACUCGCGUCUGAUUAGCUGGUUGGCGGGGUAACGGCCCACCAAGGCGACGAUCAGUAGCCGGACUGAGAGGUUGACCGGCCACAUUGGGACUGAGAUACGGCCCAGACUCCUACGGGAGGCAGCAGUGGGGAAUAUUGGGCAAUGGGCGAAAAAGCCUGACCCAGCAACGCCGCGUGAAGGAAGAAGGCCCUCGGGUUGUAAACUUCUUUUAUCGGGGACGAAACAAAUGACGGUACCUGAUGAAUAAGCCACGGCUAACUACGUGCCAGCCGCCGC